RNA transcript from Musa acuminata subsp. malaccensis (wild Malaysian banana), 2217 nucleotides. It is a transcript of the gene named thylakoid lumenal 15 kDa protein 1, chloroplastic, with no coding region annotated. Lineage: Eukaryota; Viridiplantae; Streptophyta; Magnoliopsida; Zingiberales; Musaceae. The record is from RefSeq and is a predicted model, not a curated record.
CAAAGAUAGCGAACAACGGGAGGGAGAGAGGCGGAAGAUAGCGAACAGCCGAAGGAGAUAUAUCGCCCAUGGCCGCUCUCAUCGGUAGUCUAAAUCUCGUUCCUCCUCCUUCGCUUUCUCCCUUGCCCUCUCUCGUCCCUCACAACUCUUCCAAAUGGCGGCGAUUCCUCUCGGCCUCGGCUCCUCGCACUAGCCUCUCGCCACCGCAAUGCUCGUCCGUUGCCGAGCUGGGAGAAGGCUUAGGUCGGGUGAGCGCCGUUGCCCUCCUCGCCGCCUCCCUCUUCUUCGCCGACCCUGCUCUCGCUUUUAAGGGUGGAGGGCCGUACGGGGCGGAAGUAACGAGAGGGCAAGACCUCACCGGCAAAGACUUCAGUGGUAAGACCCUCAUCAAACAAGACUUCAAGACGUCGAUCCUGAGGCAGGCCAAUUUCAAGGGCGCAAAGUUACUCGGUGCGAGCUUUUUUGAUGCAGAUCUGACAGGAGCUGAUCUCUCUGAUGCUGAUCUCAGGGGUGCAGACUUUUCCUUGGCCAAUGUGACUAAGGCAAAUCUAAGUAAUGCAAAUCUUGAAGGUGCUCUUGCUACUGGCAACACUUCUUUCAGAGGAUCAAAUAUCAAUGGAGCAGACUUCACGGAUGUUCCCCUGCGAGAAGACCAACGGGAGUACCUUUGCAAAGUUGCCGAUGGGGUGAACCCUGUAACCGGAAACUCCACUAGGGAUACACUGCUCUGCAACUGAUAUCAAGUGACAUCUCCAGUAAAGCUCCGAGGCAGUCGGCAUCAUUGGGUGCUGUAAUUUGCCUUGUAAUACGCUUUUCUGUUUAGAUUAUUUAUCUGUAAAUUUUGUUCACUUGCAUCAUUUGUUCUUGUCAAAGAAUUCUUGCAUAUUAUGUAUGGUAAAAGUAUGUAUGUCCUCCUCACAAACGAACUGCUACAGUGUUCUUCCCUACUUUCACUUCUGCCGUUCGUUGAAGUAUAUUCUCAGCUCAUUCUGAUACAAUGUGAAGCCUCAAAUUAUUCGAUCCUAUUGAACAGUCCUAUCCGAUGGGCGGGCAUCGAUGUGGCCUACCAUUUCAGCAUGGUAGUCGUUCAUGAACACCUCUGAAUGGUUCUUGUGGUCUUCAACUUGGAUUUCUCCAGCUAAAAUAUUAGAUUACGAUGCUCGAAUCAGAAACCAUGCUUGUCAUCAUCAUCUUGUUUGUGACCCGUACUUGGUACCUUCAUCAUCACUGGAUGGUGUUCUUUUCCCCUUCCUCCCAAUGAAAGUAACAUUGCACCAAAAUUUGUGGAAGAAUCAGUCUCUGAUGGUAACCUGUGAUGGUAGUGUCCGGUGAGUGGAGAUAAGGGAAAGGAAUCUUGUCUUAAAACUGACAAGAUUGCUGCUACCCACCUCUGACAUUUAUUAUAUUGAAAUCAUCCACAUCAAAAGCAUGGAUACAUGGUUUUAUUGUAGUUGGUAAGAUGUCAAUGGGUUUGAAAGCUACUGGUUUGUGGAUAGCCAGCCACCUCGGUCAUCUCCUCUCCCUUCUCUGACCGAGCUUGCCUUGGUUAGCUUCUUCUCAGCAGCUGGCUUCCACUAAUCAAUCACCGCUCUUUAUAACCCAAUGUCUCCCCAUCUCUCUUCUCUCAAGACAAAACCUCAAAGUCUCCUCCAACUCUCCCGGCCACCACCAACCUGUCUCAGCUUUUGUGCUCUCACCAUGGAAGGUCUCAUUCCGUUCGUCUACAAGGCCAUAGUCCGAUACAAGAACGGUGGACAGGUUUCCAACAUAGGGAGCUUGUUGUUCCACGACUCCCCCUCGGCUUCCUACGUGCGGCUACCGGCCGGUGACUCCGGUAGGUUUCUGUCGUCGGACGUCCGCUUCUUUCCUUCGUCUCCGAGACCACUGACGGCGCCCGCGGCUCCGCAGUCUCCGCGCCGGCGCGCAGCUCAGUGGCGUCCUGCAUGAGGGUGGCGGAGGUGAUGAAGGCGCGUUGCAGGUCGUCUCCGCUUGCUAUAAAUGGUAUCGAUCGAUCAGUCUCUGUGCUCUUCACAACCUGUGAAUUAAUAUGGUUCUUCCUCCUCCUCUGUUCUAAGGGGUUUGGGUCUUGAAAAAAGGAGUCCCGCUAUUUGUUAUGAAUUAUAGAGAGAAAUAAAGUGAGUUUGCAAGUGUAGAAUUAUAGAUGUAUUGGUUGGUUCUUGGAGUAAUAAAAUAUAAUACCAGCAAAUAAUAUUGUCA